Long non-coding RNA from Monodelphis domestica (gray short-tailed opossum), 576 nucleotides. RefSeq lists it as uncharacterized. The record is from RefSeq and is a predicted model, not a curated record. NCBI's taxonomy places the organism in Eukaryota, Metazoa, Chordata, Mammalia, Didelphimorphia, Didelphidae.
GAUGCUUGAGACUCACUGUUAGCUGGACAUGCCUUUUGAUCUGUCUUUCAAGCAAUGGGAUAGGUUGACCACAGCCAUCUCAGAACAAAGAUGGUGCUUAUCUGUCAACAAACUACUUAAGACAGUGGAAGACAUGCAGUGUUGACUCGGAAGGAGAGGUUCAAGGCUUGUGGCUCCCUGACAUUGGGGAGACUAUUAGCUCUUGUCCCUUGUGAAUCCUGGUAUCCAGAAGACCCACCUCUGAUCCAGACUGAGGUCAGAGUCCACCAAAUCAGAAAGACUCAGCAAAGUGAUAUCUUAAGUAGCACAAAUGGGACUAAGGAAAGGAAGAAGUUCUCUUUUGCCUCAGAACCACUGAAAGAGGAGUUAUCAAAGUUGUAGUGGCUGCUCACUGACCCACUGAGAUAAAAAUGGAUCAAGUCACCUGAUAGGAAGAUGUAUGCUCACCAAAUCCAAGUUAAAAAGAAGUCAUCACCAAUGAAGAUAUGCAGAAGAUCUUGUUUAUAGAAGAUACUAUGUUGAUUGCAUUGAGCCCCAGAACACUGCCUUCUUAAUUAAAUUUACCAUUACUCAAAA